GAUGAACGCUGGCGGCGUGCCUAAUACAUGCAAGUCGAGCGAACAGACGAGGAGCUUGCUCCUCUGACGUUAGCGGCGGACGGGUGAGUAACACGUGGAUAACCUACCUAUAAGACUGGGAUAACUUCGGGAAACCGGAGCUAAUACCGGAUAAUAUAUUGAACCGCAUGGUUCAAUAGUGAAAGACGGUUUUGCUGUCACUUAUAGAUGGAUCCGCGCCGCAUUAGCUAGUUGGUAAGGUAACGGCUUACCAAGGCAACGAUGCGUAGCCGACCUGAGAGGGUGAUCGGCCACACUGGAACUGAGACACGGUCCAGACUCCUACGGGAGGCAGCAGUAGGGAAUCGUCCGCAAUGGGCGAAAGCCUGACGGAGCAACGCCGCGGGAGUGAUGAAGGUCUUCGGAUCGGAAAACUCUGUUAUUAGGGAAGAACAAAUGUGUAAGUAACUAUGCACGUCUUGACGGUACCUAAUCAGAAAGCCACGGCUAACUACGUG
RNAcentral lists this ribosomal RNA (497 nucleotides) under uncultured bacterium. RNAcentral's name for it is "partial 16S ribosomal RNA". It matches the Rfam family "Bacterial small subunit ribosomal RNA", at positions 28 to 507 of the family's 1533-position model. The record is from RNAcentral.